GCCCGCUUCCACGCGUCGCUCUCUAUUGGUUCUUGUUUUAAAAGGCGAAGCAACCGCGCUUCGCCGCGCAUGCGCGGGUUACCAUCCUUCUCCUAUUUCCGCCCCCGCGCACUUCCGCCGCCGUUGAUUGGCCGUCGAUUUAAAUGGUGAACCGCCCGCUCCUCUUUGAAUGUUUUUGCGCCUUCUCGCCGCAGACUUCGAAACGGAAAGGCGAUGAGAAGACGACUUUUAUGAGCACUGAACCUCUUCUAAUUAUUAUUUUAAUACACUAAAACGCAGCCGACCAACGAACUGAGCAGCAACGAAGACAAGCUGUGCGGAAACUGGAAGAAACGUUCAGUUUGUGUGCUCAACCGUGCGGAAGCCAACAUGAAGUGCCCGCGAUACGACAUGGCUAAGGCCAAACCCAAGCCCAACGUUGAGAUGGGUUCUCCAGAGAAGCCCUCAGGCCUCCAUGGAAAAGAUUCACCUAUCAAGGAUCCCCUCCCCCUCAAGCCCCUUGCUGAAAAGGUGUCCAAAGUGUUGUUCCCGCAUAACAACUCUCUCGGCGUGGCCCAAGACAAAGAGAACCAGACCGCCAAAGAGCUCGAGAAUACCUUUGACGAGUCGCUAGAGGACAGCGGCUACUUGUCCCUGUACAACAGCCAUUUUGAGGAAGGUGUAAGUCGCAGUCAGGAAAAAAAAUCGACAUUCUUAAUGCCCCUCCCACCUCCAACUGUGACACCAAAACAGUCCCCCCGACGUGAAGAGAACAUAGUUUCUGGUUGCCCCGCGUUCUUGGGGAUUGCUUCCACACCUGUGGACUCCUACAGGCGGAAACCAGUCACGUACUCCUUGUCUUCCACCCCCUUGGACCACUACGACAGCACCAACCUGCCCAUUGUCAAGUUUCAGCAGGCAGCGUGUCAAGAGCUCGCCAAGAGUUACAGCAAGAAUAAGAGGUACGACUGGAGCGUCAUCUCCAAGGUGGCCGAGGAUCAUCUGCUGCACCAGGUGAUCGGCGGCCGCAUGGGCCUCGAGUUCGUGGAUGUGUUCUCGUCCCUUCUGUCCAAGAAUAUGAGAAUCAUCCUGGCCAACAUCCUGGCCUUGCUGGGAGACAUGGACCUCAUCAGUUGCAAGAAGGUGAGCAGAACGUGGCGGAAGAUUAUACGCGAAGAUAGCGCUGCUCUGCAGAGGUGCCGGCAAGCCGAAAAGGUUCUUCAGGAGUCGUUAAGCUCUGUGACGCUGAAGAGUUCCGAUCUCACGAGGGAUGUGGUCGUAUCCCGGAUGGUUCUGUCCUGCGUGCAAAAAGUGGCCUCUCCAAACACGCCAUCAUCAGCAACCGCAUCCUCUGUCAGCAGACGGAGCGCCACUGUACAGAAAAACAACCAAUCAAAUUCGCAGUGUUCUCGCUUCAACGAGUACAUUCAGGCUGCCAGCACCUUGAAGCAGCACCAGUCCCUGCGGCCGUGCAAGCAGUGCGGCUCGCCCGCCAUACACUCACCUGACGCCCAGCGAGCCACGUGCAUGCGGCCCUCCUGCCAGUUUGACUUUUGCACCCGCUGCCAGGAAGCCUUCCACGGCGCCGCCCCUUGUCGUGUGGUGCAGUGCCGCUCUCGCUUCUCACCUUCCGGCAGCGCCCAUUCCCUCCUUCCUGGCAGCGCACAGAGCAAGAGGAACAUCAGGAGGUUGUGAUGAGGUUAGAGGUGAUUUUUCUUUUGUCUCCUCUUGCCAAAGUAGAGGGAUUUCCAAAAAGUUGUUUCUAAAUGAGUUGGUGGUUAAAAACAAUGCAUUCUGAGCACACCAUCUUGACCAAAAAAAAGAUGACUGAAGAAAAUUGUGACACUUUAAAGUUGGACAUUUUAAUAAUGUUUUAUAUUGAUUGUAAAUAUUUAGAGUUUUUUCUAUAUAUAUAUAUAUAUAUAUAUAAAUGGAGCAAGUUUGUUUUAAAUAAAUGUUCACCUGAAAAAUUGUAAAUAUUUAUAUACUGUUUGUAUUGCCAUUUCCUCAUAAAAGUUUU
RNA transcript from Syngnathus acus (greater pipefish), 1999 nucleotides. It is a transcript of the gene named F-box protein 5, with no coding region annotated. The record is from RefSeq and is a predicted model, not a curated record. The transcript is spliced from 7 exons. NCBI's taxonomy places the organism in Eukaryota, Metazoa, Chordata, Actinopteri, Syngnathiformes, Syngnathidae.